RNAcentral lists this long non-coding RNA (1791 nucleotides) under Equus caballus (horse). RNAcentral's name for it is "lncRNA (ENSECAG00000048110.1)". The record is from RNAcentral. Lineage: Eukaryota; Metazoa; Chordata; Mammalia; Perissodactyla; Equidae.
CAGCUUGGGAAACACUCCUAAGCAAAUGAGAUCUUGUGAAGUAUUGUGGUGUCAACAGAAUCAUUAUUGCAUCAAAAUCUGAGAACACUCAGAUAAAAGUUGCCCUACCUAUGGGCUCCUGGGGACAUUUUCAUGCCUUCAUGGCAGCAAGUAGACUUCAGAAUCUACCUCUGGCCCUGUCCCUUCGUGGCCACAAAGGAGGAAGCCAUUGUCCUUGGCCUGACCGAGUCCCCGCUGAAGAAGCUGGAGGAAGGAGACAAGACUGCCUUGCUGCUGGUCACACAACCAGUGAAGGAUCAGAUUCUCUGGGUACAGCUAGGCCAACUGCAGUUUGGGCCUGGACUCCAGAAGGGUCUGGAACGAGCAGAAGUUGAUACUGAUUCACCCUCAGCAGCAUCGUAGCACUUUGCUUCCAUGCUCCACCCAGCUGCCUGGCCAAGCUCUCCUCUUUGUCAGUUUCUGUGGCUCUUGGUCAUUCCAUCAUCUCAGUGGGAUCAUUAUUUCUAUCACCCACAUUGUUGUCUUUGGUGUUACGGAGCCUUUAGAAAGCCUUUUGGCUAGCAUAUUUUGGAAUCUGACAUCUCUGCUUUGGACCCAUCAGUUGACUGGUAUUUAAUUACACACUGUUUGGUAAUCUGCUUUUUCCCCUGGACAAUUAUGGUGGACAUUUCCCUUCUGUUAUUUAGUAGACUUCUAAAUAUUAUUUCGACAGUUGUGUUGUAAUCCAUCACGAGAUAUCCCACGAUGUAUUCCUUCCUGUUGGACAUUUAGGUUAUUUCCAAAUUUUCAGGACUCCAAAUAAUGCCUUGAUAAGUAUCAGUGUAGCAAAAUCUUUGCAAUCAUUCUUUUAAAUAUUUUAAAAAUACACAUGUACUGAAUGAACACAUGCUCUUGGUAAUAAAGCAUUACAGAUGUGAGUAAAGUCCCUAUUAAUAACCAGCUUUAAUCUGGUCACAGUCAUUGUUAUAGAGAUAACUACUGUUAUUGGUUAAUGCAUGUCCUCCUCUUUUUUAAGGUGUUUGCAUGUAUUUUCAUGGAUCUAAGUAAAAUAUAUAGUGCUGGAUAGUUUUUAUUUGUGAGGCUGGAAGUGGUGCACAGAUGCUAACACGCUGUAUACAUAUUCACUCAGCAGCGUAUCUUAGAGGUGUUUCUAUGUCAGCAGAGGAAGCUCUGCACCCCUCUCUGUAAGUGCUGCGUAGGAUUCCACAACGAGGACAAACCCCUGCUUAUUGAGCUAUUUCCCCCUUGCCAGGUAUUUGGGCUCUUUUUAGUUAUUGGUAAGACAAGAAAGGCUGCAUUAGAUCUUUUCCUCCUGCACAUGUGCAAAUGUUUCUCUGGGAAGAUUCAGAGAAGCAGAAUGGUUGGAUCAUAGAGAAGUCACAGUGGUCUAAUGGUUAAGGUCUGGUGUACCCACCGCCCCAGAAGCAGCCCAGGUUCAGUUCCCCAGUAAGGGAACCACACUGCCCAUCUGUCUGUUGUCAUACUGUGGUGGCUGUGUGUUGCUGGGAUGCUGAAAGCUAUGCCACUGGUAUUUCACACACAAGCAGGGUCACCCGUGGUGGACAGGCUUCAGCAGAGCUUCUCGAUUAGACAGACUAGGAAAAAGGAGCUGGCUGCCCACUCCCAAAAUACUUGACCAUGAAAACCUAUGAAUAGCAGCAGAGUGUUGUCUGAUACAGUGCCAGAAAGUGAGAGGAUGGCGCAAAAAGAUUGGUCAGGGUUCCACUGUGCUGUACACAGGGGCGCUAGGAGUCGGAAUCAACUCCAUGCAUUAACAACAACAAAGCGAAG